UACGGGGGGGGCAAGCGUUGUUCGGAAUUACUGGGCGUAAAGGGCGCGUAGGCGGUUUGCUAAGUUGGAUGUGAAAACUCUGGGCUUAACCCAGAGCCUGCAUUCAAAACUGACAGGCUAGAGUUCUGGAGGGGAUAGCGGAAUUCCUGGUGUAGCGGUGAAAUGCGUAGAUAUCAGGAGGAACACCGGUGGCGAAGGCGGCUAUCUGGACAGAAACUGACGCUGAGGCGCGAAAGCUAGGGGAGCAAACAGG
This 253-nucleotide ribosomal RNA is filed under the name uncultured bacterium. RNAcentral describes it as "partial 16S ribosomal RNA". It matches the Rfam family "Bacterial small subunit ribosomal RNA", at positions 524 to 776 of the family's 1533-position model. The record is from RNAcentral.